Molecule: ribosomal RNA, 376 nt
Filed under: uncultured Sphingobacteriales bacterium
Lineage: Bacteria; Pseudomonadati; Bacteroidota; Sphingobacteriia; Sphingobacteriales
Description: bacterial SSU rRNA
Rfam family: Bacterial small subunit ribosomal RNA
Source: RNAcentral
ACUUACAUCUCUUCCGGAGCAUUUUACGUAGGUGCUGCAUGGUUGUCGUCAGCUCGUGCCGUGAGGUGUCGGGUUAAGUCCCAUAACGAGCGCAACCCCUACCUUAGUUGCCAUCAGGUAAUGCUGGGGACUCUAAAGGAACUGCCUACGCAAGUAGUGAGGAAGGCGGGGAGUGACGUCAAAUCAGCACGGCCCUUACGUCCAGGGCUACACACGUGCUACAAUGGCCGAUACAGAGGGCAGCUACCUGGUGACAGGAUGCAAAUCUCCAAAGUCGGUCUCAGUUCGGAUCGGAGUCUGCAACCCAACUCCGUGAAGUUGGAUUCGCUAGUAAUCGCGCAUCAGCCAUGGCGCGGUGAAUACGUUCCCGGGCCUU